Molecule: long non-coding RNA, 474 nt
Filed under: Lynx pardinus (Iberian lynx)
Lineage: Eukaryota; Metazoa; Chordata; Mammalia; Carnivora; Felidae
Source: RNAcentral
UGGGUACAGUAUACUUGAUUGAUGGUAUGUGAGAAGGUAGGGCUCCCCAAGCCCCUCUCCUUUUUCAGGGGGUCUGGGAUGGAAACUAUGUAGAGGUCAGGAGAUUCUCAGUGUGUUGGGGAUGAGUUGGGGAAAGGACUCCUCAGAAGCUGAGGGCCUCUGUCUUCCCCUUGCUCUCCCCAGGGCUGGUGGUCCAGGAGAUGUUUACUCCUUGAAUGCCAUGUGGACCAUGAGGUCUACCACCCGGUUGCUGUAGCAAAGUUCAUUGUCAUACCAGGAAAUGAGCUUAACAGAAUGGUCAUUGAGGCAAUGCCAGCCCCAGCAUCAAAGAUGGAAGAGCGGUUGUCACUGUUAAAGUCGAGGACAGACCUGGUCCUCCCUGUAGCCCAGGAUGCCCUUGAGGGGGCCCUCCGAUGUCUGCUUCACCACCUUCUCGACGUCAUCGUAUUUGGCAGCUUUCUCCAGGCAGCAGGU